CUCCUUCUUAGGAUCAGCUGUUAAACACACAACAUGCUCCACAUACAAGACAGCCUGCCUGAAACAGCUUUAUCCGAUCACAAGGACAAUCAUUCCUGCCAUGCAGCCAAGUAUUCUAUGCCUUGAUCCAGCUGGCACUGGACUUUGUGCUGGCUGAUUUUCACAUUCCAGUGUUGAGCUCCAGAAAGGGGUGAGAAUUUGUCCUUGAAACAAACCUAAAUCAAAGAAAACUCUUAUUUUGUUUUCCUCUCCCUAAUAAUGUUCCUCCACUCAUUUGCCCUCCAGUUUACAAUCACUAACCCUUUCAUGCAUGGAUGAACUUGGAAAAUCAUUUAGAAUGGAAAUUGGCUGAACUGGUUAACAAACGCCAGGUAAUUAUACCUUGGAGGCUUGUUGGUAGAUCAGAUAUUGGAAAGUAAUGUUUCAAGCUGCUUUCUCAAACUUUGUAACCAUUAAAACUUGAA
Molecule: long non-coding RNA, 464 nt
Organism: Eublepharis macularius
Lineage: Eukaryota; Metazoa; Chordata; Lepidosauria; Squamata; Eublepharidae
Exons: 3
Source: RefSeq, a predicted model, not a curated record